UACGAACGCUGGCGGCAUGCCUAACACAUGCAAGUCGAACGAGACCUUCGGAUCUAGUGGCUCUCGCGUGCGUAACGCGUGGGAACGUGCCCUUAGGUUCGGAAUAACUCCCCGAAGGGGGUGCUAAUACCGGAUAAUGUCUUCGGACACAAGAUUUAUCGCCUUUGGAUGGGCCCGCGUUGGAUUAGCUAGUUGGUAGGGUAAAAGCCUACGAAGGGUGCGCUCCAUAGCUGGUCUGAGAGGCUGAUCAGCCACACUGGGAGUGAGACGCGGCCCAGACUCCUACGGGAUGCAGGAGAGGGUAAUACAGGAAAAUGGGGUAAGGCCUGAACGAGCAAGGCCGGGUGAGUGAUUAAGGUCUGAGGGAUGUAAAGCUCGUUUACCCGCGAUGAUAAUGACAGUACCGAGAGAAUAAGCACCGGCUAACUCCGUG
This 433-nucleotide ribosomal RNA is filed under the name uncultured bacterium. Its description in RNAcentral is "partial 16S ribosomal RNA". It matches the Rfam family "Bacterial small subunit ribosomal RNA", at positions 29 to 507 of the family's 1533-position model. The record is from RNAcentral.